Molecule: transfer RNA, 72 nt
Filed under: Camelus bactrianus (Bactrian camel)
Lineage: Eukaryota; Metazoa; Chordata; Mammalia; Artiodactyla; Camelidae
Also listed under: 2 other names
Rfam family: tRNA
About the family: Transfer RNA (tRNA) molecules are approximately 80 nucleotides in length. Their secondary structure includes four short double-helical elements and three loops (D, anti-codon, and T loops). Further hydrogen bonds mediate the characteristic L-shaped molecular structure. tRNAs have two regions of fundamental functional importance: the anti-codon, which is responsible for specific mRNA codon recognition, and the 3' end, to which the tRNAs corresponding amino acid is attached (by aminoacyl-tRNA synthetases). tRNAs cope with the degeneracy of the genetic code in two manners: having more than one tRNA (with a specific anti-codon) for a particular amino acid; and 'wobble' base-pairing, i.e. permitting non-standard base-pairing at the 3rd anti-codon position.
Source: Rfam by way of RNAcentral
GAGGAUGUAGCUCAGUGGUAGAGCGCAUGCUUAGUAUGCACGUGGUCCUGUGUUCAAUCCUCAGCACCUCCA